GACGAACGCUGGCGGCGUGCUUAACACAUGCAAGUCGAACGGAAAGGCCCUGCUUUUGUGGGGUGCUCGAGUGGCGAACGGGUGAGUAACAAGUGAGUAACCUGCCCUUGACUUUGGGUUAACUUCAGGAAACUGGGGCUAAUACCGGAUAGGAGCUCCUGCUGCAUGGUGGGGGUUGGAAAGUUUCGGCGGUUGGGGAUGGACUCGCGGCUUAUCAGCUUGUUGGUGGGGUAGUGGCUUACCAAGGCUUUGACGGGUAGCCGGCCUGAGAGGGUGACCGGCCACAUUGGGACUGAGAUACCGCCCAGACUCCUACGGGAGGCAGCAGUGGGGAAUAUUGCACAAUGGGCGGAAGCCUGAUGCAGCAACGCCGCGUGCGGGAUGACGGCCUUCGGGUUGUCAACCGCUUUCGCCUGUGACGAAGCGUGAGUGACGGUAAUGGGUAAAGAAGCACCGGCUAACUACGUG
This 468-nucleotide ribosomal RNA is filed under the name uncultured bacterium. Its description in RNAcentral is "partial 16S ribosomal RNA". It matches the Rfam family "Bacterial small subunit ribosomal RNA", at positions 28 to 507 of the family's 1533-position model. The record is from RNAcentral.